Molecule: ribosomal RNA, 892 nt
Filed under: uncultured bacterium
Lineage: Bacteria
Description: bacterial SSU rRNA
Rfam family: Bacterial small subunit ribosomal RNA
Source: RNAcentral
AGAGUUUGAUCAUGGCUCAGGAUGAACGCUGCGGCGUGCCUAAUACAUGCAAGUCGAGCGAACCACUUCGGUGGUGAGCGGCGAACGGGUGAGUAACACGUAGGUGAUCUGCCCAUCAGACGGGGACAACGAUUGGAAACGAUCGCUAAUACCGGAUAGGACGAAAGUUUAAAGGUGCUUCUGGCACCGCUGAUGGAUGAGCCUGCGGCGCAUUAGCUAGUUGGUAGGGUAAAGGCCUACCAAGGCGACGAUGCGUAGCCGACCUGAGAGGGUGAACGGCCACACUGGGACUGAGACACGGCCCAGACUCCUACGGGAGGCAGCAGUAGGGAAUCUUCGGCAAUGGGCGAAAGCCUGACCGAGCAACGCCGCGUGAAUGAUGAAGGCCUUCGGGUUGUAAAAUUCUGUUAUAAGGGAAGAACGACUUUAGUAGGAAAUGGCUAGAGUGUGACGGUACCUUAUGAGAAAGCCACGGCUAACUACGUGCCAGCAGCCGCGGUAAUACGUAGGUGGCGAGCGUUAUCCGGAAUUAUUGGGCGUAAAGAGCGCGCAGGUGGUUGAUUAAGUCUGAUGUGAAAGCCCACGGCUUAACCGUGGAGGGUCAUUGGAAACUGGUCGACUUGAGUGCAGAAGAGGGAAGUGGAAUUCCAUGUGUAGCGGUGAAAUGCGUAGAGAUAUGGUGGAACACCAGUGGCGAAGGCGGCUUCCUGGUCUGUAACUGACACUGAGGCGCGAAAGCGUGGGGAGCAAACAGGAUUAGAUACCCUGGUAGUCCACGCCGUAAACGAUGAGUGCUAAGUGUUGGGGGUCGAACCUCAGUGCUGAAGUUAACGCAUUAAGCACUCCGCCUGGGGAGUACGGUCGCAAGACUGAAACUCAAAGGAAUUGACGG